Molecule: ribosomal RNA, 468 nt
Filed under: uncultured bacterium
Lineage: Bacteria
Description: partial 16S ribosomal RNA
Rfam family: Bacterial small subunit ribosomal RNA
Source: RNAcentral
GACGAACGCUGGCGGCGUGCUUAACACAUGCAAGUCGAACGGAAAGGCCCUGCUUUUGUGGUGUGCUCGAGUGGCGAACGUGUGAGUAACACGUGAGUAACCUGCCCUUGACUUUGGUAUAACUUCAGGAAACUGGGUCUAAUACCGGAUAGGAGCUCCUUCUGCAUGGUGGGGGUUGGAAAGUUUCGGCGGUUGGGGAUGGACUCGCGGCUUAUCAGCUUGUUGGUGGGGUAGUGGCUUACCAAGGCUUUGACGGGUAGCCGGCCUGAGAGGGUGACCGGCCACAUUGGGACUGAGAUACGGCCCAGACUCCUACGGGAGGCAGCAGUGGGGAAUAUUGAACAAUGGGCGGAAGCCUGAUGCAGCAACGCCGCGUGCGGGAUGACGGCCUUCGGGUUGUAAACCGCUUUCGCCUGUGACGAAGCGUGAGUGACGGUAAUGGGUAAAGAAGCACCGGCUAACUACGUG